This 26-nucleotide non-coding RNA is filed under the name Rattus norvegicus (Norway rat). Lineage: Eukaryota; Metazoa; Chordata; Mammalia; Rodentia; Muridae. The record is from RNAcentral.
UGUGCUUAGGGGUGACUAGCUGUAAC